Molecule: transfer RNA, 72 nt
Filed under: Candidatus Woesearchaeota archaeon
Lineage: Archaea; Nanobdellati; Candidatus Woesearchaeota
Also listed under: 1 other name
Description: tRNA-Asn
Rfam family: tRNA
About the family: Transfer RNA (tRNA) molecules are approximately 80 nucleotides in length. Their secondary structure includes four short double-helical elements and three loops (D, anti-codon, and T loops). Further hydrogen bonds mediate the characteristic L-shaped molecular structure. tRNAs have two regions of fundamental functional importance: the anti-codon, which is responsible for specific mRNA codon recognition, and the 3' end, to which the tRNAs corresponding amino acid is attached (by aminoacyl-tRNA synthetases). tRNAs cope with the degeneracy of the genetic code in two manners: having more than one tRNA (with a specific anti-codon) for a particular amino acid; and 'wobble' base-pairing, i.e. permitting non-standard base-pairing at the 3rd anti-codon position.
Source: RNAcentral
GCCAACGUAGCUUAGUGGUAGAGCGCAUGGCUGUUAACCAUGAGGCCGGAGGUUCGACCCCUCCCGUUGGCG